GAAGUUUAUAAAACCAGAAACAAAUUUUGUGUAAAUGUGAUAAUUGUUUGUAAGUUUGCCCUUAUAAUCAAUCUUAUUACGUUUAUAGUAUAAUGAGCUGGUCUAGCUC
Molecule: non-coding RNA, 109 nt
Filed under: Drosophila pseudoobscura
Lineage: Eukaryota; Metazoa; Arthropoda; Insecta; Diptera; Drosophilidae
Also listed under: 1 other name
Source: miRBase by way of RNAcentral